CUAAGCAGCUGCGCCGCAAGCCCCCUUCUCCCUCUCCUCUCCCAUCUCACCCAUAGUGCCCACAACCCUAGAUAGCUGCGGCACUGCCCCCUACUGGUGCCGACGAGCGGAACCCGCGACAAGACGCCGGAGUCGACAACCAGAACCAUCACUGAAGAGAGCCCCGCACGUGUCAACCUCCGCAUAACAACACUGGCAGCCUCGACCCAGCAUCCAUCUAGUACGAGACACUGGCAACGACAACCCGAGUCACCACGCAAGGAAGACGACGAAGCCAUCAGCUGCGACUCCGCUCCAUUGAAGACAACGUUACCCACACCGCGAACCAUCCCCAGUGGUCUGUCACUGCGCAGCACACCAACACGUCAGCACAGCCGCACCCAGCACUGCCUCCAAGACGCGUUGUGCAGGUUCUUCCUCCUCCAUUGUCGUGAAUUCUAACGACCGUGUCUUUUUUGGAGGUGUUUUUUUGGAUGUGUUUAUCUAUGAAUGUGUCUUCUAACGGAGGUGUCUUUUGUGGUUAUGGAUAUGUUUUUUUUUGUAUUGGAUGUAUCUGCUAAUGAAGGUGUCUUUGGUGAUACAGGCGGCUGGUAUGGUGGCGAGACGAUGACGCGACGAUACAGGUGGCUAUGCGCGUAGGAUGAGUUUCUCUUUCACGGGAAUAGUGGUGUCACAAAAUGGGAUCGGGGGAGAGGGGGCGGUCAGCGUCGAACGACAAUUGCAGCAUCCCGAUGACGAAAAAAGUUCCUGGACAGAGAGAUUACCGGAGAAGGGUGAGAGGCUUAAGGUUGCGUGACACCUUCACAAGCUUCACGUAACAACAUUUCUGGGGCGGUUACAAAUCUUAAUAUUUCAAAAUUAUAAUUAAGGCAAUUCAAUACAUUCCUAAUUGUAUUUAAAAAAUAAUAAUUAAUUAUUGUUGUCAAAAGUUGACAGAUAAUCUCUU
Molecule: long non-coding RNA, 946 nt
Filed under: Arachis ipaensis
Lineage: Eukaryota; Viridiplantae; Streptophyta; Magnoliopsida; Fabales; Fabaceae
Description: long non-coding RNA (AIPA_LNC000982)
Source: RNAcentral